RNA transcript from Neofelis nebulosa (Clouded leopard), 18509 nucleotides. RefSeq lists it as uncharacterized. The transcript is spliced from 2 exons. The record is from RefSeq and is a predicted model, not a curated record. Lineage: Eukaryota; Metazoa; Chordata; Mammalia; Carnivora; Felidae.
UGGAUUUUUAAGACAGUUGGUUCCUCUCUUUACUUCUUAAAACUAUUAAAUGUCUUUCCUUUAUUUCAGUGAAAUGGUUCUCAAUCCAGGCCGCACUUUUGAGUCCCCUCAGGGUAAUGUUAGGAAAGUAAUAAUGCCCAGGCUGCACCCAUGGAAGGCUCUGACUCCAAUGGUCCGGGCAAGGGUUUAUUUGUAAAAGUUUAUCAGGUGACUUUGGGUUGAGAGCCAGGAACGGAGCCCCUUUGUGACAGACAGACGAGCCUAGAGAAGCAUGGACUGGAGCACACACUACCCUGUUGCCCCAGCGCAGGACUGCUGCAGGGCUGUGUGAGGGGGGGUAUCGGCCGCCUCUGCCUCUCAGCCUCUGUGCAGAUGUGGCCUCUGCCCACCUAAGGUCUAGGCUUUCCUCCCACAGUGUACAACUGUCGCUGGGGAGUGGCCAGUCGGCUGGCGCCACUUUCCCAAGCCUUCCUUAUGUAAUGACGGGGCCACGUGGUUGCUUCUGGAUGGUGACCAGAGGUGGUUAUGAAGCGGGCAAGCUUUCCUAAUCUUCUUGUGUCCCUUCUGCUGGCUUGCUGAACAUGAAUGCUACUAUUUUGGAAGAUGGUGUAGACAUAGGAGAAAAAAAAGAUCUGUGUCCUUGAAUUAUUGCCUCAAAGAGAGCUGCAUGACCAAGAAUACCCAGAUUAUGGAAGCAAGAACUAGCAUUUUAAUGUGGAAAGGCACAGAGGCACCUGGGUGGCUCAGUUGGUUGAGCAUCCGACUUUGGCUCAGGUCAUGAUCUCGUGGUUCAUGAGUUCGAGCCCCGCAUCAAGCUCGCUGCUGUCUGCCUCUCAGCACAGAGCCUGCUUCGGAUCCUCUGUCCCCCUCUCUCUGCCCCUCCCCUGCUUGCACUCUCCCAAAACUAAAUAAAUAUUUUUUAAAAAAUGUGGAAAGGCACAGAAAUGUUGUGACUUGUUUAUUAUAGCAACUAAUACUACUAAGCCAAUGGUUUUCCCCUUCUGCCUGAUAGUAUCCUAUUAUUCUUUGGGGAACAACUUCUUUUCACUCCUUCAGGGCUCGGUAAGUGUCUAUUCCUGUGCUCUGCCCCCCUUCCUCCCCAAUUUGGCCCACAAGGUGGGGGCACGAAUCAGGUGCGUCAAGUUCUCCAUUUUUGGGUGCAGAAUCAGUUCAGGGAUGGUUUCAUGACUCAAACUGGGUCAGUGAGAAUCUUUCUAAGCCUCAGCAUACGGACAGUGGGAAAAGUGGUUUUUCCUCUUCUUCGGACUCCUGUUUGGGAAAGCCUGUAAGGUGGUGGCACCUUGCCCUCUACAGUGGAACAAGCUGGUUGUAGAACUAAGACAGUGAGUGAGGCAGGGAGAGACAAGCCAUGGAGACAGAGGCAGAGCUCCGUUGUCACUGUCAUGUCACUGUCGUGUUUCUGAACCUGGUGGUGCCUGAAGCCAGUGCCUGGGUUUACUGCUUCUAUGAACUAAAAAUUCAUUAAAAUUACUGUAUGUAACUUUCAUUUCGUUACUUAUUCUGCCUAGGCAAGUUGAGUAGGACAGUUGUCGUGAGCUGACGCUCUGCUCUGUGUCAGUUCUGGCUCCGCUCUGCUCUCCGGACUUGGGGGACACAGUUCUCACUCGCUCACUGGCUGUGCCAUGUGAGCCACCAAGAGGCAGCUCAGAACCAACGUACUCUAAGGAAAGCUCCGAGUUCUGCCCACUCCCAAGUGCUCUCAUUUCUAAGCCCUUCCCCCCUCACUAAGUGGUAACACCUGAUGGCUUGAAGCCAGACCCUUACUCUUAAUCUUCUCCAUCUUGUUGUCCAGUUUCUCAGAAAGUCUUGUGCUUUCUUCUUCCUUCUCAUGUCUCUUCUCUCUCCCCAGCGUUUUCUCCAAGAGCUUCCCAAGGGGGUUCUCCGAUUCCACUCUUGCACCCCUGUAACUUAUUCCCACGUAGCAGCUAGAAUAAUCCCAGAAGUACACGUUCUUCUGUUGAAAACUGAAAUGUCGUUCCUUCGCUCUUAGAAUGAAGUCCAAAAUUCUUCCUAAGACCUUCGAGGCUUUGUAUGGUCAGGCUCUUCCCUGGUUUUGAAGCUUACCUCUCAUCCCUCUCCCGCCCACUCCCUGCACUUGGGGUGCCGGGUUCACCAUUUCCCAGACCCCUCUCAGUUCUUCUGGGCCUUUGGGACUUUGUGCCUGCUGUUCCCACCACAGGGAAGUUAUUCCUCUCUUUUCCAACAGGGCCAUACUUCCUCAGACAGGCCUCCAACCAUCCUAUUUAAACGUGUUUCCUUCCCAGGAGAGUCUGUGAUUGUCUAUUUUUUUUACUUGUUUGUUACUUGCCUCUCCCCAUUAGAACCUAAGCUUCAAGAAGGCAGGGGUCUUGUGUGCUAAUAGUAGCUGAAUCGCUGGGCCCCGUGUCUAGCACAUAGUUGGUGCUCAAUAAAUAACUCCCUUAUCAUGUGACAGGCCCUGAGGGGGUCCUCACAAUGCAGCUUGAAACCCCCCAGACUAGAAAUUCUCUGUGGUCCCUGUUGGUUUGUGAUCCUCAUGAACUAAGUGCAAAGCAAAUAUAAUAUCUUGAUUAAUAUUCAUUUAGGUUGGUGUGAUAUUUUAUUUAUAUAUGCUUUAUUUUAUUCUUAUUUUUAAAGAAAUGUUCCUAUUUUAUUUUGUUUUAUUUUUUUAAGUUUAUUUACUUUGAGAGAGAGAGAGAGAGAGAGCACUAGCUUGAGAGGGGGAGGGGUCGAGAGAGGGGAGAGAGAGGAAUCCCAAGCAGGCUCUGCACUGUCAGUGCAGAGUCUGAUGUGGGGCCUGAACCCAUGAAUCGUGAGAUCAUGACAUGAGCUGGAGUCAGACACUUAACAGAUUGAGCCACCCAGGCACCCCAGAAAUGUCCCUAUAUUAAACCUUUCUUACAUUCUUUUUAAAAAGUUUGUUUACAUAUUGAAGUAAUCUCUACACCCAACGUGGGGCUCAAACUUAUGACCCUGAGAUCAAGAGUUGUAUGCUCUUCCCACUAGGCCAGCCAGGUGUCCUUAUUUUAUUUUAUUUUAUUUUAUUUUAUUUUAUUUUACUUUAUUUUAAACUGAAGUAUAGUUGACAUAGAACAUUAUGUUGGUUUCAGGUGUACAACAUCAUGAUUCGACAGUUACGUGCAUUGUGACGUGCUCUCCAUGAUAAGUGUAGUUACCACCUGUCACCAUACAAAAUGCUAUGAUAUUGACUAUACUCCCGAUGCGGUACUUAUCAUCCCCAUGAUUUAUUUUAUAACCGGAAGUUUUUACCUCUUCUUCCAUUUCACCUAUUUUGCAUAUCCUCCACCCCCUCCCAUCUCUUCCUCUUCUUGUAAGGGUCCAAUCCUAUCCAAUUAGGGUGCUAUUCUUAUGCUUAUGACCUCAUUCUUAUGCUUAUGACCUCGUUUAACCUCAGUUACCUUCUAAAGACCCUAUCUCCCGGACACAGUCACACUGAGGGUUAGGACUCCAACAGAGGAACUUUGAGGGGAACAUAGUUCAGUCCACAGCAGUCUAACUCUUGUUCUGUCCAGCUCCCUUCUUAACCUGGGAAUCUGCAUCCACCUGGCCCCUGUCUGUUGGCCGACUCCCAUCACAGAUUAUUGGAAGUCCUGUGUCCAAUGAGGAAAAUGCAGAAAACUGUAAGUCAGAAGUUCAUGAACUCACUAUCUAGUUAUUCUUGCUGCUGGUUCUGUUCCAGUCUUGAGGUUGGAUUGUCCUGCAUGGUUGCUGCUUAGAUACUAGAUGUUUUAGAUUCAACUUAGACCCUUGGCUAGAGUAGUCAUGUCUUCCCUUUAAAAUUCUUGGUGGGUUCAUCAUUCACUUUCAAACCUGAAUAUGCCUUUGUGACUUCCAGAAGUAAUUAAAAUUAGAUAGUGUGCUUAUGCCUAGAACCUCAGCCUUCAUCCUUCCCAUGAGUCUGUGUGGAUUCUGGUUCUAGUUCUCCUGUUCAGCCCAUCCUGCUCUACCUGAACUUGAUGGGCCAUCUCUUUCCCUCCUUCUCUCUCUGUCUCUCCCCCCACCUCUCCCCACCCACUGCUAGACCCUCCUUAACUCCCGCAGUCUCCCAUGUGGGCACAGCCUGAAGUAUCCUUUCUCUCUGGGAGCCACACACAUAUUUUCUAUAUCCAUACAAGAGCACACACUGACUUGACACUCCCUCUCUCAGCCUCUUCUCUGCCUUCCUCGCUCACCCUGCUCUCCAUGCCCUCUGCUUGCCCUCUAGCAACUGAACUCUGGCACAGUUUCCCAAGCCUGUCGAUAAUGCUCCAUCUGUCCUCCUGGUCUUUGCACAAAUGUCCCUCCGAGUCUCCAGACCAGGUCAUGUUUGCUCCCAAAGGACUGGCCAAACAUCAGCUCUUUCUGGGAGUCACUGUGCUCCUCACCCUUCACGUCCUGCACUUCAGGGUUGCUUCUUGUUCAUCCAACUCACAGAGCCCUCUCCUUAUGUUAAUUGAUUGAUUAACUGAACCAAUAUAUAAAGAAGCGAAUACAUUUGCUGCUGGAUCAAUUUGCCAGCUUAGAGACAAAGGAGGUUUUUGCUUUACCAAAUAUUCAAAUAUUAUGAAAUUCCCUUGUGGGCUGAAUCUCUCUCCUACACACAGGAAGCAGCACAUGGAAAGAAAAGGAAACCGGGUGAAGAGUAGAGGUUAGCGAGGGUACCGAGAACGUGGGCAGAGGGCAGGGGGUGAGGGUCGGUGCCCUGUCCAGGGCAGCCUGGAGGGGAGUGAGCUUGGGACUCGUGUGAGAAACAGGUCAUUUCAGUGUUGUUGAUGAGCUGGUUCUACCCUCCCUGGGCAGGUAGAUUCCUCUGGUGACAGAGGAUAGACUCUACUGCAGUCACAGCUAAUAUAUACAUUUUCAGUGGGGGUGGGGGUGGGGGUGUGACAGGGAGAGGAUAUCACAAAUACUUGUUCUUGGGAGGCAAAAAAGCCUUAGAUAUUGCAAUGGUCUAUGGCCCUCCAAACGGCCUCAGUCCACGAAGAGAUGUAUAGUAUAUCUGUGGUAUUAAAGCUUUAUGCAAGGGGGCGAUUAGGAACAAAAUGCCUAAAAUGGCUUCUGGGGAGAAGGAUGGUGAUGAUAAGAAGGUUGGGAAAAACUGGGCUGACAGAUGGCCUUAAAGCCAAGGAAGGGGUUCUGGCCAGACAUACCCUGGAAAAUGGUGAAGUUCCUGCAUGUCCCAGAGGUGCCCAGUCGAGGGGUGAGCAGGGCUGAGGUCAGCUACUCUGUGGUGCAGUGCUGAGCCUUGUCCGCCCACAGGGGGCUCAUACAUUUGUACAUGGCAACCUCUGUGCUCCUGGAGGCCCUCGAUCUGGCAGUCCUGCCUGCUCAUGCUCGAGCCUGACAUGACAGUGUUGGAAGGUUCAGACUAAAAUAAGAGUUGAAGUUAUGGGUAGGUCACCUGGGCAGAGAUUUGAUCGUAGAGAGCACUGCACCAUCACUAGGGUGAAGCGGGAAUGCAGGUCAUUUUAAGGACAGGCAUGUCCUUCUACAACGAGACAUGUUGGUUCUGCUCCCCGAGUGGAAAGUGCCCUGGAGCAAGGUGGUGUGGGAGUGGAGCACGAAGCCCAGAAACACCGGCCAUCCCCGUACUUUUGUGACGUGGGGGUGCUCUAGAGGCUCUAGAGGUUAUCAGCUGAAAGUCAAGGCUAGCAGAAAUGCUGAUGCACUUGUUCUGUUACCAGGAACCGGUUAUACUAUCCUAAGUCAGAACCCUUUUGUUUGCCUUUUGGAAUCCUCUAAUCCUGAAAGUCCCAAAGGAAAACCAGAGAGAGAAAAAGAACUGCAGAAAAGUGGGAAAAUUGCCAAUUUAUUUUUCCCCCAAAACGUUGACUCUGGGUUGGCCUGUGGCAAUGCAUUAGUAAUGAGUCUGUUUAUAUAUAUACACUUUCACUGAUACAAAAUCAAUACAUAAGUGUGAAACAAACAUUUAAAGGCAAUCUGUUUGGCAGUGCUGAGUGCCCGGGGAUGGUUGUGAUUUUGUGUCAUACAUUACAGGUUGGUGAAGGCGUCGGCAUCCCUCUCCUUGAAAUAGGGGGCUGUCUGGGGUGGUUGGGGGCCGUGACAGGGCACAGGUGAGGUCAGGGCUGUGGGCUCUGCUUCAUCCCACACCCACAUCAAGCCACACCAAGGGCUAUCCGGUGACAUGUGUGGGUACACUGGCCCGGGCCCCCUCGCUGACUAGGAAACAUCUCCAACUCUCGGCUGUCGUGAGGGUGGGUCGUUCUCAUUUUCACAUGAGACCGGCAUGCUCCGUGCCACAGACUGAUGGAGCUUCUUCGCUGUUUUCUACAAAUGGAAGAGUUGGAUUGUUUCUUUUCGUGGGGGAAAGCUGUUCGGUUCUGUGGGUGAGGAGGAAGGCCGUCUCCCCUAGUUUCACCCAACCAGGUGUGCUGCCAGGCCUGUCGUUAACAUCUUGAGCUUAGUCUCACUACCAUCUGACAGGGCCGAGCAGCAUGGUGGCCACAGUGACAAACACGGAGAGGGCAGGCCUGGACACGCGGGCCAGAGCGUGGCAGGAAGAGAGGCACGCAUGGCGUCCAGGUUCCAAAGAGGCAACGGGGAUGAGCAAGUAGCAGCUUUGGGAACAAUGACAGAGUGGGUUUGCAUUUCAUCCUCUCCUGUGUGACCCCAUCCUGGCCCUGUCUCCUUCCUUAGCGCAGCGACGUAACCAGUCGCCUGUAGUUUGGAGCCUGGGCAGAAAGUCUAGAUCUCCCAGGGAAUGCAAUGGUGCAGACUCACUGGACUGUCAUCACUCCCCGCUCCCCAAUACGAUUUCUGGGUCCUAAGAUAAAACCAUUUUCAAUUUUAUUAGAUAGUGAGUGCCAGCUUGCUCUCCAAAGCAAUCGUCUCCUACUCUGGAUACAUUCAUCUUAAUUUUUUGCUAUUUUUACGGGUAAAAAGUGCUGUCUCUAACUUGAUUUGGACUCUUCUGAUCACCAGUGGGAUUGAGCACUUUUUUUUUCUUUCUCCCAAUUAAUUUAUUGGCUGUUUGGAUUCCUUUCUCUGAGAACCGCAUGGGCCUUGCCUUUGCGUGUUUUUGGGGCGUGUGGUUUUCUUAGAUUUGUAAGUUUUUAAAAAGUAUCGUAUUUGGAAAUUAAUCCUUAGUUCGUUCUAUGUAGGGCAAAGACUUUCUCCAGUCCGUGACUUCUCUCUUAAUUCUGUUUGUGGCAUCUCCUGAAAAACUGAAGUUUUAAUUUGACAGAGUCAGACAUUCUCCUUUCUCGUUCAUGCUUUCUGUGUCACGUUUAGGAGAACCUUACUACUGUGAAGUCAUAAAUAUAUUCUUAUACUUUUUCCUAAUAAUUUUAAGACAUUUUGCUUCUUUCCACAUUUGAAUCUUUGAUCAAUCUGAUGUUGAUUUUGGAGGUAUGCAUCACAUUUAACUUUUUUUUUUAUUGAAGUAUAAUUAACAUACGGUGUGAUAUUAGUGUCAGGUAUAUAAUACAGUGAUUCAACAAUUCUAUGCAUGACUCAGUUCUUAUCACAGUAAGUGUGCUAAUUUAACUUUUUAAUAUUGAUAGUCAACUGCUCUAAGACUCUUUACUGGGUGGUUCAUCAGUUCUCCACUGGUUGAUAUUGCUAUCCUGUCAUCCACCAAGUUUCCAGAUAUAAACAGAUCAAUUUCUGGGCUCUCUUUCUGAUUCGUUGAACCUUGUAUCAAUUCUUGCACCAACCGUAAACUUCUUAGAACAGUUCUAUUGAGGUAGAAUUAACAUACAAGACACUGCAUGUAUUUAGUUUUUCAUUUCAUAGUUCUCUCUAUUUAUAGGUUCUAGCUUCCUUUUUUUUUUUUUGCAUUGAUUUAGUAUUUCUUUCUUUAUUUCCUUGUUUAUUUGAAUAUAGUGAACACAUAACGUUACGUUAGUUUCAGGUGCAUGGCAUAGUGGUUCAACAAGUUUAUACGUGAUGCUCAGCUCACCAUCUGUCACUUUACAUUGCUAUUACAAUGCCAUUGGCUAUAUCACCCAUGCUGUGUCUUUUAUUCCUGUGACUUUUUCAUUCCAUAACUGGAAGCCUGUAUCUUCCACUCCCCUUCACCCACUGUGCCCAUCCCCCACCCUCUCUCCUUUGGCAACCAUCGGUUUGUUCUCUGUAGCUACAGGUUCUAGCUUCUCGACCUGAAAUUUAUUUCAUUAAUUCUUGCAUUUUUUAAAAAUUUGCUUCCUGUUUUAGCUGUAUCCAAUAAAUGUUGAUAUGUAGUUCUUCUGUCGCUUGUUCUAAGUAUUUUGGAACUUUCAUGUGAGUUUUUCCUUAACCUUAACCCAUGAAUUUUUACAGAAAUCUGCCUUUUAAUUUCCAAGGAUAUUUUUAAUUUUUUCAAUGAAAAAAUGUACUAUUUCCAAUUGUAUUGCACUGUGAUCACAGAUCCUGGUUUUCAUGAUACGAAUAUUUUGGAGUGUGUUGAGAAUUGCUUUGUUUUCAUAAAAGAUUGUAUAUUAUCUGUUUACUGGGAUGAAGAUCAAGCUGCUUGAUUGCAUUGCUUUAAUCCCUUGUGCUCUUAUUAUACUUGAUGUAACAGUUUCUGAUGGCUAUGUGUUAAAAAAAACCCUCAUUAUAAUGGUGGAUUUGUCAAUUUCUCCUUUUUUUUAAAGUUUAUUUUGAGAGAGAGAGUGCACACGAGUGGGGGAGGGGUAGAGAGUCAGAGAGAGAGAGAAUCCCAAGCAGGCUCCAUGAGCGGGCUUGAACUCACGAACCAUGAGAUCAUGAUCUGAGCCGAAACCAAGAGUUGGAUGCUUAACUAACUGAACCACCCGGGCACGCCUGUCAACUUCUCCUUUUAAUUCUGAUAAUUUUGGUUUUUUUUUUUAACACAUAGCCAUCAGAAACUGUUACAUUAAGUAUAAUAAGAGCACAAAAGCACAUAUAUUUGAAGGGAAUUUUGUUAGGUAAAGCCAAUUAAUGAUUUUUACAUCUUACUGGUUGUUUAUCCCUUUUAUUAUUAAGUAAUCUCUGCCUUUCUCUUCAUUCAUAUUUUUUUCUUUAAUUUUAUUUGACCAAAUUAAUAUUGCUAAACUGGCAAUAUUCAACUUUUCAAUGCCAAACUUUCAAGUGAAAGACUAGAUAGUCAAAACAUAAAGAAAUAAAUCUGAGAGUUUGUCUUUUAAUUGGUGAGUCAAAUACACUUAUAUUUAUUAUAGUUACUCUAUAUUUGGACUUCUUUCUAUCAUUUCAUUUUAUAUCCACCAUGUUUCUCUUUGGUUCUCAUUUUUUCUUUACCACAUUCUGUUGAAGUAGAGAUGUUUUUUUCUUUUUUUCCUUUCUUCUCUCUCUCUCUCUCUUUUAACAUUUUCUGUCUUGUUCCUUUACUGAUCUGGAAAUUAUUUAUUUGGUUUCUAUUUACAUAUAUAUAUAUAUUUUUCUAAUUUUAAUAUUUCUAACAAUAUCUAAAGCUAAUAACUGUCUCUUUCCUACUCUUGAAAAGACAGUGACCUUAGAAUGCUUUGAAUUCUCUUUAAAUUCACUUUAAAUUCUCCUGUUUUGGAAUAGAGAUAGAUAGGAAUUUGAUGGUAAUUAAACAUGAACAAAAACAAGGUGAAAUUUUACUCUUAUGUGUGAGAGCCGAUGAAGAAAUGUUAUGGGCUUAGCACUGUUAACUGUGUGACACAGAGUGAGUUACUUAAUCCUGUGAUUCCAUUUCUUCAUCUGUAAAUAGUUUUAAUACCUACUUGUUAGGGUGUUGGGGAUUUGAUGAGUUGGUGAAUGUAAUAUACUUAGAACAGUGCCUGGAAUAUAAUAAGUGCUGUUUACGAGUUUGCUAAUUUUUACCAGACGUUACCUGGAUGUCAAGUGGUAAGAAUACCUGAAAUAAAAAUCUAUUGAGGAUCCAAAUGAUAUGGCCAAUAGCAAUAUUUUAAUAUGUAAAAGAGGAAUGAAAAAUGUAUCACCUAUCUUGACAAGUAGAAGAAAACAUCUGAAAGCAAUCAAAGGAGAGUUAAUAAAGAACAAUUAAGUGUAUUAACUGUGAACAAUAGUCCAAUCAAAUGUGCCCUUAGGAAAACUGGCUUUGGGCAGGAGGUUCCUGGAGAGAAAAGGAGGGAUGGUGAGUAAGAAGGGCAGUGGUGAAUAGAAGAGGCUCCAUGUGUAAAUCAAUGUGUUCUUAUGGAACAUGAGUCAACAAUAUGAUCUAAAUAGUGUAAAAGGCAAAACCACUUUUGGGUGUGGUAACAAACCCAGGCUGAAUAGUGGGACAUACUUCAUUACUCCAUUUCCUUUGGCUCUUGCUGGGCCCUCGGCAGACUUUUUUUUUUUUUUUUUUUAACGUUUCUGAAAAUCACAUGUUGCAGAAUGUGGAGAGGAGGGCAGGGAUCCUGAUCUGGAGUUUGGAGAGCAAGAGGGAUAGGGAAAGCUUAUGAUAAGCACCAGCUUGAUGCUGACAGUGCCUUGUGGCUUGUGCUUGGAAGAGAGAGGCUUCGAUUAUUCUGGUUAGUCAAGAAGAGUGGGGUCAGAAAUCGCAGUGUGAUGCUGCCAGCGGGGGCAACAGACGCUGAAUGAGGGACUAACCUAACCACAGAACGGAUCCGUCAGUGGGACAGGCGACCACCAGGGUCUAGGAAUGAUGCCAGGAACAUGAUGGGCUCAGACAACUGCCUUUCAGGCUGACUUUGGCGUAAACACGAGCUCCAAGCUGCCCUGAGAAAACACGGUGGUCAGCUAAGCCCGGCGAGUGUGCCUGUCCUCUGGAAUUCUCCGGGUACAGACUCGGCCAGUCUCCGCACCCAGGACUGCACGAGGAGCACAAAACCUUGUCUGUGAUUAAAACCACACUCAGGAGUGGCUCAUUCAGGCACCCCGGGCCUGCCUUAUGCUGACUGAUGGUGAUAAUUCUAUUUCCCAUGAUUUCUCGAGUGUGCUUUUCAUCUGUAUUCAUUCUAUGAUUUUCAUGAGAAAGCCAUAAAGGGGUCCUUUCCACUACCAUUGACACACGUGAUCUUCACCAACUGGGAGGAAACAGGAAAAGGUAGUGCGGGGCCAGAAAAGAAAUUGAUGUUGAUCUGUGAAAGGGGCUUGUCACACUGGCCAGUGUCUGUCCUGCAGUCAGAUGGAAUGCCACUUCUCUGAGUUGCCUUCCCGGACCUCUCACUGGAGUAGACUCUUCCCCCACCCACCCUUCAGGUGACACCUUUGUUGGGUAGACCCGCAGUGAUCUAUUUGCUUACUUAUUCAUUGUCUGCCUCCCUCAUUUCAUGUAAGAUCCUCUGAGCUGGGUGCUGGUCCUGUGUUUUUAACAGCGAUGUCACCCAAUACUUAGAAGUGUGUCUUUCAUGUAAUAAUGAUAAUUACUAUUUUUGGACCAACAAGAGGCAGCUCUGUAAGGUUGGAUUGUUUUGAAUGGCUAGCCACUUGCAUCCUUUUAGGAAACAUGUCUCUCUGAAUCUCUGUGAAGUAAGGGUACAGGUAGGAAAGGUCAAGGGUAAACAUGGAUAGGAUUAUUACUUAGGACGUUCUGGUUUGGCAGGUUCAUCAAAAUGCCUAGAAAAGCCUGGAUUUUUGCUUUGAGUGGCCAAAGAUGUACCUACAAGAGCAGGAACAUCUGAUGGGAUAAAAAGCUGAUUGGAGCAAAAAGCUGAAGUUAGAGACACAAAUGUUCUCUCUCACCUUCUUUCAUAGGUGAUCAGAUGCCAGUUUGCCUGGGACAGUCCUGGCUUAUACCUGCUGUCCUGGCACAAUUCUGAUAGUGCUCAUUUACAACCUCAGAGGUUUCCUGAUUUGGGUGAUAAGUCAUAUGGCCAUGUUGUCUGUAAGAUUCAGUCCACCCCUUCCAACACCCAGCCAGCCUGGGGCCACAGUGUAUGUGGAACUGCAGAUGGUAUGUGCUAGAAGGGAUAGGAACUUGUGAUUUUGGAGUUCAUAAAUUAUGGAGGAGAAUCACACAUAUUUCUUGACACUCAUAAUAUGAUUCUCUUAAGAUUCUGCCAGUCAAAUGCUCUUUGUGCUUUUAAGUUUUCAUGACUUCAGAACAUUUGGGGCCAUAGCUACAGGGGUGAUAGGUCUUGGUGUCGUUAUAGUCAGGCAACGCAUGCUACAUGAUCUUAAGACAACAUGGCUGGGUCACAAUGUCUUCCCAGGAUAAAACUUCCUCAAUUUUGGGGGCACCUGGGUGGCUCAGUCAGCUAAGUGUCUGAUUCUUGAUUUUGGCUCAGGUCACGAUCAUACCGUUCAUGGGUUUGAGCCCCCUGCUUGGGAUUCUCUCUCUCUCUCUCUCUCUCUCUCUCUCUCUCUCAAUAAAUAAAUAAACUUAAAAAAAAACCCACAAAAAAACCCAAUAAAAACAUACAUAAAACUUAGUCAAUUUAUUUACAGCUCUGAACUCUUUAGAACCCGGGAAAGCCUGUUCUUAGGGAGCCCUUCGGGGAACAGGGAGAUAGGUCCUCAUAAUUGUGCCUCCCUUUAAUCUUAAUCCAAGCUUCUAAACACCUAUCCCUUUCAUCUUGAAGAGGAGUCUUUUCCCAGGAGGCUUUUGAUCCUUCAAGCAAAGAGACACCUGAAAGAAUGCCCAGCCCAUGCCCAGAUAUGUCAGAAUACCCGGGUCCACAGAUGGGACACCAAUAAAGUCUGCUAACACAAGCAGCUGUCUGACAUAUUUGGCCACUUUUAAGUGGUUGAUCAUUAAUGUAUGCACUUAAAGGUUGGGGAAGGUCACUGAGUGGUUCCAACAGAAGAACAUAUCACCCCAUUACACCAAAGUGGUAAGAAGAUUAAUUUCCCAAACCAGAGUAGGUGAUGUGGCCAAGAGGAGAGGGCCACAUGCUUGCUAGAUCUGAAUGCCCCGAUUACUUCUUCUGGGAUAUUAUGUUAAAAGUGCGGGUUUAGUCAGUGAAAAUCAGAGACACAGAUCAUCUGAAGCAACGCAUCAGUGAUGCAGGCACAGGAGCUGGACGAAAUGCUGCCCUAAUGCACUUUGUCCGUUGCAAUUUGUCUGUGAAUUGCAUUAAGAGAAACGACACUGAAUAUAACACAUGAUGCCACUUCAUGUGUGGUGUAUUGUAAUGUAAUAUCAAUAAGUUACUUGCCAUGUUAAUUUGCCUGUGUAUCCAGACCUUAGGGUGACCUGACAGCUCAAGAUAGCAGAUGCUCUGAUUUUUCCACUUUCCAUGGUCUUUAUCACCAUUGUUUAAAAUGUUUGCAUAGUAAUCUAUUGGGUUGGUAUCCCAUAAUUUAAAUAUUCUUCUACUUUUGUAUGUUUAGAUUGUUUUGGGUUUUUUUCUAUCGCAAAUACUAUAGAAGCUGGAAGUAUGCAUGCAUGUUUUCCGAUGUUUUAGAUUAGUUACUUAAGAUGAGUAUUUGCAAAGAGGGGAAAGAUUAAAGACAGCAGGAAGCAGAGGGUCUGAAGAGCAGUGACUUGGCUAAGACAUCUCUUUGUCUGUACAGCAUUUCUCAUGCUCUUAUGUCAUCUGUCUACACAGGUUGGUGAAGAACUUGACAAUCUGAUGAUUGAUUACUUUGUGGACCUUGAAUGGAAACACUGCACCCCUAUUAUAUCAGGGGGAGGAAGUGAAGUGAGGAAAAACCUCUUGUCUAGAUACAAUAUUGCUUUUUGUACAACACAGUAUGAAAUACAUGUAUUUUUGAAACUUUAAAAAAAUGUUUAUUUAUUUUUGAGAGAGAGAGAGAGAGAGAGAGAGCAAGCAAGCACGAGCCAGGGAGGGGCAUAGAGAGACGGGGACAGAGGAUCCAUGCUGACAGCAGCAAGCCUGAUGUGGGGCUUGAACUCAUGAAGCAGGAGAUUGUGACCUGAGCUGAAGUCGGAUGCUUAACAAAGUGGGCCAUCCAGGAGCCCUGAAAUAUUUGCAUUUCUAUGUUACUUGUCUUGUUUCAAGCUUGUAUUUUUUUCUUUCCUUUGCAUUCUCUCAAAGCAGGUUGAUGGCCCAUGGGAGAAAUUAUUUCCUUGGGCAAACAGAUAGAAGACACUUGUACAAAAGGCAAAGAACACAUCUUUCAGAUGCCCUCCCUUGUUCUGUUGAAUGGCUUCAAAGAAGAGUUUACUGGGAGACCUGGGUGGCUCAGUCGGUUCAAAGUCUGACUUCAGUCCAAGUCAUGAUCUCAUGGUUCAUGGGUUCGGGCCCCACGUUGGGCUCUGUGCUGACGGCUCAGAACCUGGAGCCUGGAUUCUGUGUCUACCUCUUUCUGCCCCUCGCCUACUCAUGCUCUGUCUCUCUCAAAAGUAAAUAAAAGUAAAAAAAGAGAAGAGUUUACUGUUUUUAUUUUCUUUAUUAGGAAUUAAAAUAGGAGACUUUUGAUGAGGUCUUGUUUUAAAGAAGCUAUUUUCUUUGAGAAAAAAAGUGCUUCCCCUUUUGAUGCUUGAGAUUGAUGUGAUGAAAUUUAGGAAAAACUUAUAUGACAGUUGUUUGUGUUUCUUCUGGGUGAUUUGUUUAGAGUUAUGUGUACAUCUAAGAUGCUUUAGAGUCUUUAUAACUGAUUUCUCACUUUCAUAUGGGAGAUAUAACAGCAGAAUUAUGGAAUCUUGUAGCCUCUGGUUGCUGGAAUUGUCCACCUUUGUAGAAGCGUUAGAAAAUGCUGAGAGUGAUUUCAUGGGGGUUAGUUUGUUGUUGUUGUUGUUUACUUAUUUAUCUUUGAGAGAAAGAGGAUGGGGCAGGGGGUGGGGAGACAGAAUCCCAAGGAGGCUCUGUGAUACCAGUGCAGAACCCGACAUGGGGUUCAAAACCGUGAGCCGUGAGAUCAUGACCUGAGCCCAAAUUGAGUUGGAUUGCUUAACUGACUGAGCCACCCAGGUGCCCUGAUUUCAUGGAGUUUUAAAGUAGGGUGCCCAGGAAUGCUGGGUAAGGUCAGAGCGAACCCAAAGAGAGUGCCAACUGUGUGCCAGGCACACAGUACAGCUGUGUGCUGUACAACUGUCCACCCAUUUAAUUCUCAACCCUAGGGGGUAGGAACCGUCAUGUCCCCCUGUUUCACUCAGCAUCAGUAGAAGAAUUUGGACAAAUGGACCAAUAAACUUGAUUUUCUAGCUAAAUGCUUGAUCCACUGUAUUGUCCUUGGGGCCAUGAAGCUGUUCCCCACUUCCAGAAGGUGACCACUUUGUUGAGGCUUCUCUAGGGUCAGAAGUGGCUGCUGAUUGCCACUCCCAAAGAGGUGCAUUCUAAGAACAGAAGAAAAUCAUUGCCAAGGAGAAUGGUUAUUGGGCCUGGUUUUAGCAAUUUGCAAAGUCCAAUAAAAAAUAAAUCCCAAAGCAGUCAUAUGUUUCAAAUCUGAAUGUUAACAGCUGUGCUCUUAUUUCUUUGCUGACUAUAACUACAAUGCUAAGCCUUUUCUCUGUGUUUAGAAAAAGCUCUGCCUUCACCUUAAUGUUCUGGCCAUACCAGCCAACUGUCCUUUCCAAAUUUACCCCCAAUUCCUUAUUUCCUUCUUUAGAUAUUUAUUUCUUUUUAAGGAGAGAUCUCUACAGGGCUAAGGUUUUAAAACAGCAAAUUGUGCUAAAUUCUUAAUCCUCCUCUAACAUCUGUUUAUGUUUUUGGAAUAUAUAUAUAUAUAUAUAUAUAUAUAUAUAUAUAUUAGUAAUGUUUUUUAAGAAGUCUUUUUACCCCUGUCCAAAAAGGAACUCUAAGAACCAAUGUUUUCUUUAUUUCCUUCCUUUUUCUUCCUGCCUUCCUGCCUACCUGCCUUCUUUUUCUCUUUUGGGUUUUUUUUUAGAUUACUUUAAGGGGAAAUAAUCCCUUAAUGUGUAUCCAAGAACACUGAAAGAUGUUUGGACAUUUUCUAUUCCUUUCUGGCCUCUGAGUUCUGAGUCACUGAGUUUGUGUUUUUAAGUCAGCACCUAUGGGCAAAGUUCUCUUUCAAAACUAAACUAGUCCCCAUGAUUUAAAAUGCCAACCAACCAAUGAACCAAAAAAUCCACUCCCUAAAAAAAAAAAGGAUCAAACCAACCAAAACCCCCUCAAAUUUAACCAAAAACCUCUCCAAAAAAAUCAGGUCCUCAUUUUGGAUCAAAGCCAGGCAACAUUUUCCCCAAAUUCCUCCUGCUCUAUAGAGAGAGUACAUCUCUGAACAUGCCAAAUGGAAAUUCAGAUAUGAGCAACUCUUUUAAAAUUCUUAUCUUUUAAAUAUUCAUAAUUUUCCAGCUCUUUACUAUCAUAAAUUCUUUUCAUUAGAAAGCUCACCUUGGAAAGGGCGGAAGGGAGGAGCGAGUUCGGAAGGCGCUGCUUUCCUGGCUCCCUGCUUGCUCAGAAAGUGUCUGGUAAUGGGAUGGCAGGACACCCGGCUGUGGGUGCUAGAGGGUUCUUAGCUCCAAUCUGUGAGGACGGAGAUGUGUCCCUCCAAGUCUAUCAUCACCCAGGUUAGACAGGCCCCACUGAAGCCUCUCUGGUGGGUGGGAAUUCUUGGAGGCAGUGAUGCCUGAAUUUUCUAAGGAUGAGCCUAGGAUAGCCAUUAAGCUAGAAGGGCAUAGGGCUGGGGACCUAACUUACAGCUGCAUUUGCAUGGUGCUUUAUACAAUAUUGAGACGAUCUUUCCUUUAUUCAUCAGAGAAUGUAGAGAGGGCUACUGGCCAGGACUGUGGGGUGGGGUGAGGGAAGGAAGACCACUACUUUCAGCCCCUUCAUGGAGACCCCACCGAUGAGGAGCCUCUUGGGAUAGAGCUGUGACCAUGCUGGAGAUUGGGCAUAUUGACAGACUGCCAAUGGGAGAGGCUGGUGCACGUAUGUUUGCCUGAGUCUGCAGAAGGGGCAGGCAAGGCUGGAAACUUGGCAUCACGGGAGGGGAGAAGCACUUCCGGGUUUCAUCAUGCAUGCUGUGAUUUGUCUCAUUGGUUAAAUCUCUGGGUCCUGGAAGCUGUUUUACUAACAGUCCCUUAAGGAAUGGAGAACCAUGGAAUCUCUCCAGUAAUCUCGCCCACACGAACUCCAGUGGGUGGUGAAGCAUCCUGCUUCAUUUUGCCUCGGAACGAUUGGGGCACCGUGACAGCACAAAGGCAGCUGAGGUGGGGCUUUGCAGCAAAUAAAGGGACAUGGGCAUCACUUCCCAUACUGGUGUGAUUCUGUGCUUUGUUGCUUGUUUUUUAAGUGCUAUUGUGGCAGUCAGUGGCAUGAGUGGUGGACACCCAGUGGUACUCCCUUCCACUGAAUUUCUUUUUUUUUUUUUAAGUUUAUUUAUUUAUUUUGAGAGAGACAGAGACAGCACGAGUGGGGGAGGGGCAGAGAGAGAGGGAGAGAGGGAAUCCCAAGCAAGUUCUGUGCUGCCAGCACAGAGCCUGACCUGGGACUCGAGCCCACUAAACCGUGAGAUCAGGACCUGAGCUGAAACUCAAAGUCAGAUGCUUAACCGACUGAGCCACCCAGGUGCCCCCUCCACUGUUUCAGUAGCAUCUGUCCCAGUAGAUUCUCAGGGAGCCUCAAAGGUACCCUAGAGGUUGUCUUCUCGGCCUUGAGCCUCCUACACCCUGGUGGGGUGUUUUCUGCUGGCCAGUCCCAGCCCAUGUUACCCUGCCUUCCAACCUUUGGCCAGCCACUGUGGAUCAGUUCUGGCUCAGGUCCUCCUGGAGAAUUUCCCCACUACUCAGUGGGCUUCAAUCACACCUUUUCAAUGAGAUCUGAAUGCCAGCCUUAGAAAGGGGGGUGGGUGGUGAUCUCUUUUUCAAGUGUGUUCUUUCGUUGAGCAUUCUCCUUCAUCUCUUGGAUAUCCUCUAGAGUUCUUUUUAUCCCUUGACAGUCAGCUCCCUGUUAUGGUUAUAUAAUUCUUUAUAUUAAAGUCUCCCUGUUAAAAUUAUUGUGUGAUUUCUGUCUCCUAACUAGACCUAUUGAUACAAGAUGAUAGUAGGGAUAAUUGAUAGAAAUACUGAGUUUGUUCCCUUAUACAUUUUACUUCCUUCUUAUUUGAAGCCUCUGUCCUGGUCCCGACAGGUGCCAGCCCUCAGAAGCUGUGAGUUAGUUGCAUCAGCGGGACUGGGUCCUAAGUAGCUGACCCCCAGGUUCACUGAAGAUUUCCAUACUUGACGAAAUGACUGGAGAGAAUGGAUGAGAAUUGAUGAUAUAACACUAGCUUUGCAUGUGGGUGAGGGGAACCCAGAGAAAAACAGCUUGAAUUUCUUGUCCAUAGGGAUGGGACCUCAGAAUCAGAAUGAAGUUGAAAGAAAAUAAACGUGAGACUCCCAGUGAAUCUGCUUUAUGAUAGUUACAGUUUUUAUGUCAAAUCACUGACAAAUACAUAAAUAUAAAAGCUGGCAUGGAUUUGGCAAUGCUUCUACAAACUUGUAUUUUAUUAUUUAUAAAGCAUUUAAAAACACUUGAAAAAGUGGUACAUGGUAUCAAUUUAUUUACUUAAAAAUUUUUUUAAAACGUUUAUUUAUUAUUGAGAGACAGAGAGACACAGAGCAUGAGCAGGGGAGGGGCUGAGAGAUGGGGAGACACAGACUCGAAAGCAGGCUCCAGACUCUGAGUUGUCAGCACAGAGCCCAAUGUGGGGCUCGAACUCACAAACAGCGAGAUCAUGACCUGAGCCAAAGUCGGACGCUUAGCCUAUUGAGCCACCCAGGUGCCCCUCAAUUUAUUUACUUUUAU